RNAcentral lists this ribosomal RNA (650 nucleotides) under uncultured Glomus. Its description in RNAcentral is "SSU rRNA". It matches the Rfam family "Eukaryotic small subunit ribosomal RNA", at positions 624 to 1276 of the family's 1831-position model. Lineage: Eukaryota; Fungi; Glomeromycota; Glomeromycetes; Glomerales; Glomeraceae. The record is from RNAcentral.
AAGCUCGUAGUUGAAUUUCGGGAUCAAAUUGUCGGUCGUGCCUCGGUACGUACUGGCGUUAUUGGUUCCUCCCUUCUGAAGAACCACGAUGUCAUUAAUUUGGUGUCGCGGGGAAUCAGGACUGUUACUUUGAAAAAAUUAGAGUGUUUAAAGCAGGCUCGCGCUUGAAUACAUUAGCAUGGAAUUAUGAAAUAGGACGUUUGAUUCUAUUUUGUUGGUUUCUAGGAUCGACGUAAUGAUUAAUAGGGACAGUUGGGGGCAUUAGUAUUCAAUUGUCAGAGGUGAAAUUCUUGGAUUUAUUGAAGACUAACUACUGCGAAAGCAUUUGCCAAGGAUGUUUUCAUUAAUCAAGAACGAAAGUUAGGGGAUCGAAGACGAUCAGAUACCGUCGUAGUCUUAACCAUAAACUAUGCCGACUAGGGAUCGGAUGAUGUUAAUUUUUUAAUGACUCAUUCGGCGCCUUACGGGAAACCAAAGUGUUUGGGUUCCGGGGGGAGUAUGGUCGCAAGGCCGAAACUUAAAGGAAUUGACGGAAGGGCACCACCAGGGGUGGAGCCUGCGGCUUAAUUUGACUCAACACGGGGAAACUCACCAGGUCCAGACAUAGUAAGGAUUGACAGAUUGAGAGCUCUUUCUUGAUUCUAUGGGUG